AGUCGGACAGGUGAUCGCGGCUGCAAGUGCCGAAAGGCCGCAGGUGAGGAAAGUCCGGGCUUCACAGGGCAGGGUGCCGGAUAACGUCCGGUGGAGGCGACUCCCAGACAAGUGCAACAGAAAUAAACCGCCAGAUUCUCUGGUAAGGGUGGAAAGGUGAGGUAAGAGCUCACCGCUUGGCUGGUAACAGGCAAGGCUCUGUAAACUCCACUCGAAGCAAGACCGAACAGAAAGCGUUACAGUUGCCCGCUGUGCUUUCGGGUAGGUUGCUCGAACCGAUUGGUAACAGUCGGUCUAGAUAGAUGAUCACUCAACGACAUAACCCGGCUUAUCGUCCGACUCA
This 343-nucleotide RNase P RNA is filed under the name human gut metagenome. RNAcentral describes it as "Bacterial RNase P class A". It matches the Rfam family "Bacterial RNase P class A". Rfam says of the family: Ribonuclease P (RNase P) is a ubiquitous endoribonuclease, found in archaea, bacteria and eukarya as well as chloroplasts and mitochondria. Its best characterised activity is the generation of mature 5'-ends of tRNAs by cleaving the 5'-leader elements of precursor-tRNAs. The record is from RNAcentral.